RNAcentral lists this ribosomal RNA (253 nucleotides) under uncultured bacterium. Its description in RNAcentral is "partial 16S ribosomal RNA". It matches the Rfam family "Bacterial small subunit ribosomal RNA", at positions 524 to 777 of the family's 1533-position model. The record is from RNAcentral.
UACGUAGGGUGCAAGCGUUAAUCGGAAUUACUGGGCGUAAAGCGUGCGCAGGCGGUGAUGUAAGACAGUUGUGAAAUCCCCGGGCUCAACCUGGGAACUGCAUCUGUGACUGCAUCGCUGGAGUACGGUAGAGGGGAUGGAAUUCCGCGUGUAGCAGUGAAAUGCGUAGAUAUGCGGAGGAACACCGAUGGCGAAGGCAAUCCCCUGGACCUGUACUGACGCUCAUGCACGAAAGCGUGGGGAGCAAACGAGG